This 1287-nucleotide ribosomal RNA is filed under the name uncultured bacterium. Its description in RNAcentral is "bacterial SSU rRNA". It matches the Rfam family "Bacterial small subunit ribosomal RNA", at positions 86 to 1398 of the family's 1533-position model. The record is from RNAcentral.
CUCGAGCGAGUGGCGAACGGGUGAAUUCGCAUGAGGAACGUGCCUCAAAGAGGGGGACAACAGUUGGAAACGACUGCUAAUACCGCAUAAGCCCACAGCUCGGCAUCGAGCAGAGGGAAAAGGAGCAAUCCGCUUUGAGAUGGCCUCGCGUCCGAUUAGCUAGUUGGUGAGGUAAUGGCCCACCAAGGCGACGAUCGGUAGCCGGACUGAGAGGUUGAACGGCCACAUUGGGACUGAGACACGGCCCAGACUCCUACGGGAGGCAGCAGUGGGGAAUAUUGCACAAUGGGGGAAACCCUGAUGCAGCGACGCCGCGUGGAGGAAGAAGGUCUUCGGAUUGUAAACUCCUGUUGUUGAGGAAGAUAAUGACGGUACUCAACAAGGAAGUGACGGCUAACUACGUGCCAGCAGCCGCGGUAAAACGUAGGUCACAAGCGUUGUCCGGAAUUACUGGGUGUAAAGGGAGCGCAGGCGGGAAGACAAGUUGGAAGUGAAAUCUAUGGGCUCAACCCAUAAACUGCGUUCAAAACUGUUUUUCUUGAGUAGUGGAGAGGUACGCGGAAUUCCCGGUGUAGCGGUGGAAUGCGUAGAUAUCGGGAGGACCACCAGUGGCGAAGGCGGCCUACUGGGCACCAACUGACGCUGAGGCUCGAAAGUGUGGGUAGCANACAGGAUUAGAUACCCUGGUAGUCCACACCGUAAACGAUGAUUACUAGGUGUUGGAGGAUUGACCCCUUCAGUGCCGCAGUUAACACAAUAAGUAAUCCACCUGGGGAGUACGACCGCAAGGUUGAAACUCAAAGGAACUGACGGGGGCCCGCACAAGCAGUGGAGUAUGUGGUUUAAUUCGACGCAACGCGAAGAACCUUACCAAGUCUUGACAUCCCUUGACGAACAUAGAAAUAUGUUUUCUCUUCGGAGCAAGGAGACAGGUGGUGCAUGGUUGUCGUCAGCUCGUGUCGUGAGAUGUUGGGUUAAGUCCCGCAACGAGCGCAACCCUUACUGUCAGUUACUACGCAAGAGGACUCUGGCAGGACUGCCGUUGACAAAACGGAGGAGGUGGGGAUGACGUCAAAUCAUCAUGCCCUUUAUGACUUGGGCUACACACGUACUACAAUGGCGUUAAACAAAGAGAAGCAAGACCGCGAGGUGGAGCAAAACUCAGAAACAACGUCCCAGUUCGGACUGCAGGCUGCAACUCGCCUGCACGAAGUCGGAAUUGCUAGUAAUCGUGGAUCAGCAUGCCACGGUGAAUACGUUCNCCGGGCCUUGUACACACCGCCCGUC